AUUGGGUAGGGGAGCGUUCUGUAAGCCGUUGAAGGUGAAUCGUAAGGUUUGCUGGAGGUAUCAGAAGUGCGAAUGCUGACAUGAGUAACGACAAAGGGGGUGAAAAACCUCCUCGCCGGAAGACCAAGGGUUCCUGUCCAACGUUAAUCGGGGCAGGGUGAGUCGACCCCUAAGGUGAGGCCGAAAGGCGUAAUCGAUGGGAAACGGGUUAAUAUUCCCGUACUUCUGACUAUUGCGAUGGGGGGACGGAGAAGGCUAGGUGGGCCAGGCGACGGUUGUCCUGGUUCAAGUGCGUAGGCUUGAGAGUUAGGUAAAUCCGGCUCUCUCUAAGGCUGAGACACGACGUCGAGCUACUACGGUAGUGAAGUCAUUGAUGCCAUGCUUCCAGGAAAAGCCUCUAAGCUUCAGAUAGUCAGGAAUCGUACCCCAAACCGACACAGGUGGUCGGGUAGAGAAUACCAAGGCGCUUGAGAGAACUCGGGUGAAGGAACUAGGCAAAAUGGUACCGUAACUUCGGGAGAAGGUACGCUCUUGAUGGUGAAGUCCCUCGCGGAUGGAGCUGACGAGAGUCGCAGAUACCAGGUGGCUGCAACUGUUUAUUAAAAACACAGCACUGUGCAAAAUCGCAAGAUGACGUAUACGGUGUGACGCCUGCCCGGUGCCGGAAGGUUAAUUGAUGGGGUUAGCGCAAGCGAAGCUCUUGAUCGAAGCCCCGGUAAACGGCGGCCGUAACUAUAACGGUCCUAAGGUAGCGAAAUUCCUUGUCGGGUAAGUUCCGACCUGCACGAAUGGCGUAAUGAUGGCCACGCUGUCUCCACCCGAGACUCAGUGAAAUUGAAAUCGCUGUGAAGAUGCAGUGUACCCGCGGCUAGACGGAAAGACCCCGUGAACCUUUACUACAGCUUGGCACUGAACAUUGAACCUACAUGUGUAGGAUAGGUGGGAGGCUAUGAAGACGUGACGCCAGUUGCGUUGGAGCCGUCCUUGAAAUACCACCCUUGUAUGUUUGAUGUUCUAACUUAGACCCAUUAUCUGGGUUGAGGACAGUGCCUGGUGGGUAGUUUGACUGGGGCGGUCUCCUCCCAAAGAGUAACGGAGGAGCAC
This 1104-nucleotide ribosomal RNA is filed under the name Vibrio cholerae. RNAcentral's name for it is "bacterial LSU rRNA". It matches the Rfam family "Bacterial large subunit ribosomal RNA", at positions 1223 to 2311 of the family's 2925-position model. Lineage: Bacteria; Pseudomonadati; Pseudomonadota; Gammaproteobacteria; Vibrionales; Vibrionaceae. The record is from RNAcentral.